AAUUUUCUAAGCUAAGCAAAGGUAAUUUCCUAUCUAUAGCUCUAUGAUGCAUCCAAACGUGGAGGAUUACUGGGACGGAAUUCAGGGCUGUCACCACCUGCCGCCUACCUCGGACAAAUCCAUGGGAUACACAAAACAAAGGUAUGGGAAACGACCAAACUACCCUCCAACCAUCAUUAGGAAGAGAUCAGGGCCAUCCACAUCGAAUCUCACGAUCAACGGCCACAAAAAGUGUUCGGGCCGAACUCGAGACGGCUCCGUUCGGCCCAUUUUUUAUCGUGGACACUAAUUUUGAGACCCUCAGCCUAUUGGCAUGAUAGUUGGGCCCAUUUGGAGUUGUUUACUUGACUUAUGGGGCCUCCAAUCCGUGUAAAUGUAUCCUGAAUGCGCGGAGGUGCAGUUUGUUGCUUGACGGAUGUGUUUUCUUCUCAAAAUACCUGCAUACACAUAUUUCACCAACACUAGUGGAAAUGAUUAGUAAUAAUACCUACCACUAAGUUGGAUACCAUGUUUUAUUUCAUUAUAUGUAGGUAAUGACGGUCAGAUAUUAUGAUUUAAGAACCGUCAACAGACUUCUAGAUGUUUCGUGCCUAGCCCCAAAGCUCGCCUGUGGAAUAAGUUAGUUGCCUAGGUUCUUUGCCUAGUGCAUAGUCGCUUAGUCGCUUAGUUCUCCGCGCUAUUCGCUAGUCGCUUAGUUCUCCGCGCUGUUCGCUUCUGCGUCGUCGCUUUUAUGGUUUUCUGUAAUGUUGUGUUGCUCAUCUAUGGACCUGUCCAUGGUGGCAACUUAUGUAAGGACUACUACCCAGUGAUGUAAUAAAACAGUUUUCUUUGAUUCCACAGUUA
Oryza sativa Japonica Group (Japanese rice) is the source of this 843-nucleotide non-coding RNA. NCBI's taxonomy places the organism in Eukaryota, Viridiplantae, Streptophyta, Magnoliopsida, Poales, Poaceae. The record is from RefSeq and is a predicted model, not a curated record.